CACUCAGCAAGAGGGCAGAUACUCAGAGCGUGAGAGAAAGCAGAGAGCACUGCUUCCACGGCCACUCACUCACCCAGGGUGGUGUUGCUGCCUACAGAGGAAGACAGGAUGGUGGGAUUUGAGCCUUUGUGAAUCCACUAGCUCAGGACUAGAUUUUCCACACUGAGUGAGUAAGGAAACUUUGCUUGAGACAUCGGAUGGAUCUAUCCCUAUUUGUUUCUCCUUGAUGAGCAAGUUUUAGUUCCAUCUGAUCCAGGAAUGAGGAAAAAGGUUUGACCUCACUGUGCAGCCCAGGCUGGCCUCAAACUCAUGGCAAUACUCCUGCUUGGACUGUAUGUGCACACUUCUGUGCCAGGCUUAAAAACAUUCUUUGAAGUGUCUCAAUCUGUUUAUUUUUAAAAGAUUAGUUUUCUGCUCUUUAUCAAUUAAGCUAAUUUACAGACUUAUUUAAAGUAUCUUUAAG
Long non-coding RNA from Heterocephalus glaber (naked mole-rat), 463 nucleotides. The record is from Ensembl. NCBI's taxonomy places the organism in Eukaryota, Metazoa, Chordata, Mammalia, Rodentia, Bathyergidae.